Molecule: ribosomal RNA, 308 nt
Filed under: uncultured eukaryote
Lineage: Eukaryota
Description: partial 18S ribosomal RNA
Rfam family: Eukaryotic small subunit ribosomal RNA
Source: RNAcentral
CCCUUAGACGUUCUGGGCCGCACGCGCGCUACACUGACGAAGGCAACGAGCUUUCCUUUACCGAAAGGUACGGGUAAUCUUUUGAAACUUCGUCGUGCUGGGGAUAGAUCCUUGCAAUUAUUGAUCUUAAACGAGGAAUUCCUAGUAAGCGCAAGUCACCAACUUGCGUUGAUUACGUCCCUGCCCUUUGUACACACCGCCCGUCGCUACUACCGAUUGAAUGGUUUAGUGAGGCCUUCGGAUCCGCGACUCGUUUUGUGGAGAAGUUGGACAAACUCAGUCAUUUAGAGGAAGUAAAAGUCGUAACA